ACGCUUCUUUUUCCACCGGAGCUUGCUCCACCGGGAAAAAGAGGAGUGGCGAACGGGUGAGUAACACGUGGGUAACCUGCCCAUCAGAAGGGGAUAACACUUGGAAACAGGUGCUAAUACCGUAUAACAAUCAAAACCGCAUGGUUUUGAUUUGAAAGGCGCUUUCGGGUGUCGCUGAUGGAUGGACCCGCGGUGCAUUAGCUAGUUGGUGAGGUAACGGCUCACCAAGGCCACGAUGCAUAGCCGACCUGAGAGGGUGAUCGGCCACAUUGGGACUGAGACACGGCCCAAACUCCUACGGGAGGCAGCAGUAGGGAAUCUUCGGCAAUGGACGAAAGUCUGACCGAGCAACGCCGCGUGAGUGAAGAAGGUUUUCGGAUCGUAAAACUCUGUUGUUAGAGAAGAACAAGGAUGAGAGUAACUGUUCAUCCCUUGACGGUAUCUAACCAGAAAGCCACGGCUAACUACGUGCCAGCAGCCGCGGUAAUACGUAGGUGGCAAGCGUUGUCCGGAUUUAUUGGGCGUAAAGCGAGCGCAGGCGGUUUGUUAAGUCAGAUGUGAAAUCCCCGGGCUCAACCUGGGAACUGCAUCUGAUACUGGCAAGCUUGAGUCUCGUAGAGGGGGGUAGAAUUCCAGGUGUAGCGGUGAAAUGCGUAGAGAUCUGGAGGAAUACC
Molecule: ribosomal RNA, 674 nt
Filed under: uncultured Bacilli bacterium
Lineage: Bacteria; Bacillati; Bacillota; Bacilli
Description: bacterial SSU rRNA
Rfam family: Bacterial small subunit ribosomal RNA
Source: RNAcentral